This 247-nucleotide ribosomal RNA is filed under the name uncultured bacterium. RNAcentral's name for it is "partial 16S ribosomal RNA". It matches the Rfam family "Bacterial small subunit ribosomal RNA", at positions 523 to 769 of the family's 1533-position model. The record is from RNAcentral.
AUACGUAGGGGGCGAGCGUUGUCCGGAAUGAUUGGGCGUAAAGGGCGCGUAGGCGGCCUGGUAAGUCUGGAGUGAAAGUCCUGCUUUCAAGGUGGGAAUUGCUUUGGAUACUGUCGGGCUGGAGUGCAGGAGAGGUAAGCGGAAUUCCCGGUGUAGCGGUGAAAUGCGUAGAGAUCGGGAGGAACACCAGUGGCGAAGGCGGCUUACUGGACUGUAACUGACGCUGAGGCGCGAAAGCGUGGGGAGC